RNAcentral lists this unclassified non-coding RNA (369 nucleotides) under Hevea brasiliensis (rubber tree). Lineage: Eukaryota; Viridiplantae; Streptophyta; Magnoliopsida; Malpighiales; Euphorbiaceae. The record is from RNAcentral.
AAAAUUCAUUGCUUUGACAGGGAACAUCAUGGCUAGAUGAAGUAACUGCCUCAUCAGCCAUCAACUUUGCUUGACAUGCAGCAUUUGAUGCCACAUUGGCGGCAGCAGCCGCAGCCUUUGCGACAGCAGCAGCUGCUGCUAUUGCAAUAGCUGCAGAAGCUAGUUUAGCUUCAACGUCUGGUACUAAUUCUGAAUUCUUCUGCCUGUCCAAUUGACUCCACACUUCUGCACUGUGUUUAACAGCUUCAGAUGCAAACAAUGCAGCAUCCUCAGCCAGUUGCUUAGCCUCCCUAACCUUACCGAGUGUUUCAUCUGAAAACAUGGCUCUCCCUCUCAAAUCUUGACCUGCACUCUUUGCGUGAGUUGUCG